This 468-nucleotide ribosomal RNA is filed under the name uncultured bacterium. RNAcentral's name for it is "partial 16S ribosomal RNA". It matches the Rfam family "Bacterial small subunit ribosomal RNA", at positions 28 to 507 of the family's 1533-position model. The record is from RNAcentral.
GACGAACGCUGGCGGCGUGCUUAACACAUGCAAGUCGAAUGGAAAGGCCCUGCUUUUGUGGGGUGCUCGAGUGGCGAACGGGUGAGUAACACGUGAGUAACCUGCCCUUGACUUUGGGAUAACUUCAGGAAACUGGGGCUAAUACCGGAUAGGAGCUCCUGCUGCAUGGUGGGGGUUGGAAAGUUUCGGCGGUUGGGGAUGGACUCGCGGCUUAUCAGCUUGUUGGUGGGGUAGUGGCUUACCAAGGCUUUGACGGGUAGCCGGCCUGAGAGGGUGACCGGCCACAUUGGGACUGAGAUACGGCCCAGACUCCUACGGGAGGCAGCAGUGGGGAAUAUUGCACAAUGGGCGGAAGCCUGAUGCAGCAACGCCGCGUGCGGGAUGACGGCCCUCGGGUUGUAAACCGCUUUCGCCUGUGACGAAGCGUGAGUGACGGUAAUGGGUAAAGAAGCACCGGCUAACUACGUG